This 257-nucleotide RNase P RNA is filed under the name Rhodospirillales bacterium. RNAcentral's name for it is "partial RNase P RNA component class A". It matches the Rfam family "Bacterial RNase P class A", at positions 154 to 367 of the family's 367-position model. From Rfam's summary of the family: Ribonuclease P (RNase P) is a ubiquitous endoribonuclease, found in archaea, bacteria and eukarya as well as chloroplasts and mitochondria. Its best characterised activity is the generation of mature 5'-ends of tRNAs by cleaving the 5'-leader elements of precursor-tRNAs. The record is from RNAcentral. Lineage: Bacteria; Pseudomonadati; Pseudomonadota; Alphaproteobacteria; Rhodospirillales.
GUGAAACGGUGCGGCAAGAGCGCACCGCGCCCCCGGCAACGGGGGCGGCACGGCAAACCCCACCGGGAGCAAGACCGAAUAGGGGCGGCCGGCGAGCGGUCCUCGGGCUUCGGCCCGACAUCGCCGACGCAGGGGCAUUCCCGCCUCGUCGCCCGGGUUGGUCGCGCGAGGCGCGCAGUAAUGCGCGUCCCAGAGGAAUGGUCGCCCCGCGCCGGCAACGGUGCGGACAGAACCCGGCUUACAGGCCGUCUGGCGCG